GACAGAGGGUGCAAACGUUGUUCGGAAUUACUGGGCGUAAAGGGCGCGUAGGCGGCCUUCUAAGUCGGACGUGAAAUCCCUCGGCUUAACCGAGGAACUGCGUCCGAUACUGAAAGGCUUGAAUCCGGGAGAGGGAUGUGGAAUUCCAGGUGUAGCGGUGAAAUGCGUAGAUAUCUGGAGGAACACCGGUGGCGAAGGCGGCAUCCUGGACCGGUAUUGACGCUGAGGCGCGAAAGCUAGGGGAGCAAACGGG
This 253-nucleotide ribosomal RNA is filed under the name uncultured bacterium. RNAcentral describes it as "partial 16S ribosomal RNA". It matches the Rfam family "Bacterial small subunit ribosomal RNA", at positions 524 to 776 of the family's 1533-position model. The record is from RNAcentral.